Molecule: ribosomal RNA, 327 nt
Filed under: uncultured Geobacillus sp.
Lineage: Bacteria; Bacillati; Bacillota; Bacilli; Caryophanales; Anoxybacillaceae
Description: bacterial SSU rRNA
Rfam family: Bacterial small subunit ribosomal RNA
Source: RNAcentral
GUCAGCUCGUGUCGUGAGAUGUUGGGUUAAGUCCCGCAACGAGCGCAACCCUCGCCUCUAGUUGCCAGCAUUCGGUUGGGCACUCUAGAGGGACUGCCGGCGACAAGUCGGAGGAAGGUGGGGAUGACGUCAAAUCAUCAUGCCCCUUAUGACCUGGGCUACACACGUGCUACAAUGGGCGGUACAAAGGGCUGCGAACCCGCGAGGGGGAGCGAAUCCCAAAAAGCCGCUCUCAGUUCGGAUUGCAGGCUGCAACUCGCCUGCAUGAAGCCGGAAUCGCUAGUAAUCGCGGAUCAGCAUGCCGCGGUGAAUACGUUCCCGGGCCUU